UUGCAACAACAUGUCUACAUGGUCUACAAAAUUAUAAUGUAUUCUCAUGUAAACUUUUUACGUCAGCACAGACAUCUUUUCAAAUUUCUUAGCCAGUGUAUCCCACCAUAAUAGUUAUUAUAUUGCCAGAUUACAGACAAUCCCAUUUAUUUAUAUAUAUCCAAUUUACAAAUAUGAAUAGGCCUAUAUAUUUCUACUGGUAUGCUUCCUAGUGACAUUAAUGCAAAAAAAUAUGAAGAAAAAACAAUUCCACCUAUGUGUGCAUGGUUAAAAUUCUGAAGUGCAAACUAGUUCAGGUUACAGCACAAAUAUUUCCAUCCAUAGAUAAGAAUAAUCAAGUCUAACCUCUGAAUUUCUUUUCAAAGUGCUACCAGAUUGAUGCAUUUAAACAGCACCUUUAAAAUAGACAACAUAUUCUUACAGGGAAGCAUGCCCAUAGACGGGGGCUCGUGCCCCAGUGCAGCUCUAGUUCUUGUGAUGCCCCUGGGGCAGUAUCCCCGUUUUAAGUUUUACAAAGAUAAAAACAUAACCUGUUUUGGAGGUAUUUAUGCUUCUGAGCUGAAAAUGUCCCCAGAUUUUGUCUGAUAAAGCUUGUCACCUUACCCUACAUCCCUGUG
Etheostoma cragini (Arkansas darter) is the source of this 617-nucleotide long non-coding RNA. RefSeq lists it as uncharacterized. Lineage: Eukaryota; Metazoa; Chordata; Actinopteri; Perciformes; Percidae. The transcript has 5 exons. The record is from RefSeq and is a predicted model, not a curated record.